GACGAACGCUGGCGGCGUGCUUAACACAUGCAAGUCGAACGGAAAGGCCCUGCUUUUGUGGGGUGCUCGAGUGGCGAACGGGUGAGUAACACGUGAGUAACCUGCCCUUGACUUUGGGAUAACUUCAGGAAACUGGGGCUAAUACCGGAUAGGAGCUCCUGCUGCAUGGUGGGGGUUGGAAAGUUUCGGCGGUGGGGGAUGGACUCGCGGCUUAUCAGCUUGUUGGUGGGGGAGUGGCUUACCAAGGCUUUGACGGGUAGCCGGCCUGAGAGGGUGACCGGCCACAUUGGGACUGAGAUACGGACCAGACUCCUACGGGAGGCAGCAGUGGGGAAUAUUGCACAAUGGGCGGAAGCCUGAUGCAGCAACGCCGCGUGCGGGAUGACGGCCUUCGGGUUGUAAACCGCUUUCGCCUGUGACGAAGCGUGAGUGACGGUAAUGGGUAAAGAAGCACCGGCUAACUACGUG
Molecule: ribosomal RNA, 468 nt
Filed under: uncultured bacterium
Lineage: Bacteria
Description: partial 16S ribosomal RNA
Rfam family: Bacterial small subunit ribosomal RNA
Source: RNAcentral